This 2694-nucleotide unclassified non-coding RNA is filed under the name Hevea brasiliensis (rubber tree). Lineage: Eukaryota; Viridiplantae; Streptophyta; Magnoliopsida; Malpighiales; Euphorbiaceae. The record is from RNAcentral.
CGAAAGACAACUUCAAAACUUUAUGAUGGAAACUGAAUAAAGUUUUACAUUAAUAAUUAAAAUACAAUUAUUUGCUUAAAUUAAAAAUGGAAAGAAAUAUCAGCCCGGAUAAUAAUAUUAAAUACAUAAGCCAAUUUACAAAAGAAUGAGGGGGUGGGGUGGGGGGGUGUGGAGGAAACAAGUAUCAGCCAGUGCUACCAGAGAGAUCUCCAGAAAGAGCACUUCCAUAGGAUGCUGAUCCUGUUUGUGAAGUUGUACCUACACGGGCUUUUUGAAUCUGUCUUAUUCUGAAAGCAUCUCUUGGUAGUGGCUGGCUUUGGACAGUUGCAGUGUCAUCCUCCUCUUGCCUGUCUAAGUCCUUCCUUUUUCCAGAUUGUCUAUCUCUCAACUGUUUGAAAGAUGAACCACUAGGGACAGGACGAGACUUGCUCGAACCAGAAAGGUCACUUGUAGCAGGAGCAGGGGAAGUCCCUAACUUUCCCGCCUGCCCAUUUGGUAUGUCACUCUGCAAACAAAUUGAUAAUACAAUAUCCACAUUUGGUGUUGGACCUUCAACUGUAGGCAAGUUUACUAAAAAAGACAUCAGUGCCGGAGGUGUUGCUUUCAAUACUUCAUCAAAUGCAUUGGUUGCUCCAGAACCCACCAAACCAAUAAUGGGAUUAGACAUGUUGGAAGCAGUAACUAACCCAGGGGUCGUGCUUGGAGAAAUUCCAGCCUCAUGCUUUUGCCUUGGCUCAUAAAUCACCAUACAAGAAGUAUCUGGAUAAACAACUUUUGCAGAUACUGCUGAAUUGCUUGUCAGACCUGUACUAACCUUAUCUACAAUCCCAAGUCCAUUAGAAAUUGCAGACUUCUCCAUUUUCUUACUAAUAUUUUUAGCAAGCCACUCUUGACGGGAUAAAUGAUCCAAGUCCUUGGAAGAGCAUGGCCAAAGAUCCAUGAAACUAUACCGUGAGACGACUUCUUGUAACGAACCCUCUAAUGCUGAUGCUCCAUCUUCACCUGACCUCGAAAGAGCUUCUUUUCUUCUUUGCUCAACCUUUAACAUGCUAGCUAGAUCUCCAUAUGUUUGCUCGAAUUGAGUAAAUCGUUUCCAGACCUCAACAGAUUCUUCUGGUGGCAACGAGCUUAAUGCCCUCUCAAACAAAGCCCGGAUGUUUCUGUCAUCAUUCAAACGAGACAAGAAAUCUGCAUAUUCGAGAAUAUAUACAGGCUCAUGCAUAAAUCGUUUCAAUCCUGCUUCGAAAAUAUUGUGUGCCAUCUUUGGAUCCUUGUCAAGACAAAACGCCAUCAAGGCAUAUGCAACAUACACAUGAUACGUGCAGUUUGGGGAUUUGCGAGCAUCUAGGAAGUACUUGCGUGCUGCUUCUACCCCUUCAUUCCUUCUUAGAAAGCGAAUGAAUUGUAUAUGUGCUAGUGCUGUUGUAUUAACACCAUCACCCAAAAGACUUUCAUAUAUUUUCUUUGCUGGCUGGAUUGCUCCACGGGAUUCUUCCAACUCAGCAUAUGCAUAUUUCAGCAUUUCUGAAUCUGGAAGAGCCUUUAAAGCCCGUUGAAAUACUUUGAUUGCAGCAUCUGUAGAGCCACUUUUUGCAUGCCAAGUAGCAUAGUCAUACCAUAUAUCAGGAUAAUGGUACAAAUACAUCAGGCACUGCUCAUAGGUGAAUACAAUUCGCUUAUUGGAGGACACACUGUCUAUCCUUUGGGGGUUUCCUUUUUCAAAAGCUAAAAGUCUUUUCCAAGCCAUCCACUGCAGUUCUUCCUUGUGGGAGCCAGUUGGUGGUACAGCUAGCAUAUUCCAAUCAAUUUCAUCAACAUAUUUCUUCCGCUCCCUAUAGACAGCCCUAGCACUGUUAUAUUUUGGUUGAUAGUCAGAUAAUAGUCCUUUGGCCAAUUGUCGGCUAACAGAGUUUUCAAAAUUUUCAUAGUCCUUCCAAAGUUGCUCAACAUGAUAGGUAGGAGUAACAAUGGCUUUUUGGUAUGCUUUCCGUACAGCAGUCAUCCGCUGUGACUCUUCCUGUGCAUUUAGAGCCUGCAGUGACUUUAGAAAGGUGAUGUACUCGAUCCAUACAGGUCCAGAUGCUAUGUCAGCACCAACAUAACCAAGCAUAAAAUCAAAAGCUUUUCUUGUUUCUUCUUGUCCCUCUACGCCCUUUUUCUCAUUGACCUUCCUAAUGAAUCGAAUGUAGCAGCGCCAAAGAGGAACUUGAAGACAAUUCAAUAAACACCGGCUAAAUAUCUGCUUUGUAGCAUCAUCAUUGUUUACAGCCAUAUAUGCCUCCACAUAUUGCUUCCAAAAUUUUGCAGCUGUUGGAAACAACAACAGAAGUUGCUCAUAUAUUGGUGCUGCCUGAGAAAUGGGCAAAUGCUGUGCGCUAUUGGCUAGAAUUUCUGCAGAUUCAACAUUGUAUUUAUCAACCAUUCCAGCACCAGUUGUUUGAUCCUUUGUCUCAGCUCCAUCUGGAUUCUCCAUCUCUUCACACCAGCAAACAAAUUAGGGUCUCAAUUACUCAAGUAACAGUACCUCUGGAUCAAAAAGUGUCGAAAACGGCUAGAAGCGGAGAAGAAACCUUCGGGUUCUCUCUCCUCUUACCUCACCACUGAGGCCACUUCUCUCUACUUUUUAAUCGCGGCACAUACCUGACUUCACCAGAGUCCCUCUCUAUCUCUCUAGUCUCUAUUUCCCUGUUUCUA